RNAcentral lists this transfer RNA (77 nucleotides) under Candidatus Parabeggiatoa sp. HSG14. RNAcentral's name for it is "tRNA-Pro". It matches the Rfam family "tRNA". Rfam says of the family: Transfer RNA (tRNA) molecules are approximately 80 nucleotides in length. Their secondary structure includes four short double-helical elements and three loops (D, anti-codon, and T loops). The record is from RNAcentral. RNAcentral also lists the same sequence under 1 other name. Lineage: Bacteria; Pseudomonadati; Pseudomonadota; Gammaproteobacteria; Thiotrichales; Thiotrichaceae.
CGGGGUGUGGCGCAGCCUGGUAGCGCACUUGCAUGGGGUGCAAGGGGUCGUGGGUUCAAAUCCCGCCUCCCCGACCA